UGCAGUCGAACGAGACCUUCGGGUCUAGUGGCGCACGGGUGAGUAACGCGUGGAAACCUACCAUUCUGUACGGAAUAACGAUUGGAAACGAUCGCUAAUACCGUAUACGCCCUGUGGGGGAAAGGUCCGCCGCAGAAUGAGGGGUCCGCGUCCGAUUAGCUUGUUGGUGGGGUAAAAGCCUACCAAGGCGAUGAUCGGUAGCUGGUCUGAGAGGAUGAUCAGCCACACUGGGACUGAGACACGGCCCAGACUCCUACGGGAGGCAGCAGUGGGGAAUAUUGGACAAUGGGGGCAACCCUGAUCCAGCAAUGCCGCGUGUGUGAAAGAAAGGCCUUUAGGUUGUAAAAGCACUUUUCAAUGGUGAAAGAUUGAAUGACGGGUAGCCCGUAAAAAGAAACCCCCGGCUACUUUCGUGGCCAGCCAGCCGCGGUAAUACGAAGGGGGCGAGCGUUUGUUCGAAUUUACUGGGGCGUAAAGGGCGCCGCAGGCGGGCAAUC
Molecule: ribosomal RNA, 497 nt
Filed under: uncultured bacterium
Lineage: Bacteria
Description: bacterial SSU rRNA
Rfam family: Bacterial small subunit ribosomal RNA
Source: RNAcentral